Molecule: ribosomal RNA, 238 nt
Filed under: uncultured bacterium
Lineage: Bacteria
Description: partial 16S ribosomal RNA
Rfam family: Bacterial small subunit ribosomal RNA
Source: RNAcentral
GAUCAUGGCUCAGGAUGAACGCUGGCGGCGUGCCUAACACAUGCAAGUCGAGCGGGAAAUCCGUGACGGAUCCUUCGGGUGACGGAUCGGAUGGAGAGCGGCGGACGGGUGAGUAACGCGUAGGUAACCUGCCCUGUACAGAGGGAUAGCCACUGGAAACGGUGAUUAAUACCUCAUAAUGCCGGAUCUGCACAUGCAGGACCGGUCGAAGUUUUUUCGGUACAUGAUGGACCUGCGU